UAGUCAGUACAGGCGAAGUUUUCUGGUUGCGUUGCAACUAGAAAAACUUAAGCGGCGACGGGUGAGUAACACGUAAAGAACCUGCCUUAUAGACUGGGUACAACUAUUGGAAACGAUAGCUAAUACCGGAUAACAAGCAUUAACUGCAUGGUUGAUGUUUAAAAGUUGGUUAUGCUAACACUAUGAGAUGGCUUUGCGGUGCAUUAGCUAGUUGGUGGGGUAAAGGCCUACCAAGGCGACGAUGCAUAGCCGACCUGAGAGGGUGAUCGGCCACACUGGGACUGAGACACGGCCCAGACUCCUACGGGAGGCAGCAGUAGGGAAUCUUCCGCAAUGGGCGAAAGCCUGACGGAGCAACGCCGCGUGAGUGAAGAAGGAUUUCGGGUUCGUAAAGCUCUGUUGUUAGGGAAGAAUGAUUGUGUAGUAACUAUACACAGUAGAGACGGUACCUAACCAGAAAGCCACGGCUAACUACGUG
Molecule: ribosomal RNA, 478 nt
Filed under: uncultured Gemella sp.
Lineage: Bacteria; Bacillati; Bacillota; Bacilli; Caryophanales; Gemellaceae
Description: bacterial SSU rRNA
Rfam family: Bacterial small subunit ribosomal RNA
Source: RNAcentral